This 381-nucleotide ribosomal RNA is filed under the name uncultured bacterium. RNAcentral describes it as "bacterial SSU rRNA". It matches the Rfam family "Bacterial small subunit ribosomal RNA", at positions 29 to 412 of the family's 1533-position model. The record is from RNAcentral.
AUUGAACGCUGGCGGCAGGCCUAACACAUGCAAGUCGAGCGGCAGCGCGGGGGCAACCCUGGCGGCGAGCGGCGAACGGGUGAGUAAUACAUGGGAAUCUGCCUGGUAGUGGGGAUAACUCUGGGAAACUAGAGGUAAUACCGCAUACGUCCUACGGGAGAAAGGGGGGGAUCUUCGGACCUCUCGCUAUCAGAGGAGCCCAUGUCCGAUUAGCUAGUUGGUGAGGUAAAGGCUCACCAAGGCGACGAUCGGUAACUGGUCUGAGAGGAUGGUCAGUCACACUGGAACUGAGACACGGUCCAGACUCCUACGGGAGGCAGCAGUGGGGAAUAUUGGACAAUGGGGGCAACCCUGAUCCAGCCAUGCCGCGUGUGUGAAGAA